RNAcentral lists this ribosomal RNA (468 nucleotides) under uncultured bacterium. Its description in RNAcentral is "partial 16S ribosomal RNA". It matches the Rfam family "Bacterial small subunit ribosomal RNA", at positions 28 to 507 of the family's 1533-position model. The record is from RNAcentral.
GACGAACGCUGGCGGCGUGCUUAACACAUGCAAGUCGAACGGAAAGGCCCUGCUUUUGUGGGGUGCUCGAGUGGCGAACGGGUGAGUAACACGUGAGUAACCUGCCCUUGACUUUGGGAUAACUUCAGGAAACUGGGGCUAAUACCGGAUAGGAGCUCCUGCUGCAUGGUGGGGGUUGGAAAGUUUCGGCGGUUGGGGAUGGACUCGCGGCUUAUCAGCUUGUUGGUGGGGUAGUGGCUGACCAAGGCUUUGACGGGUAGCCGGCCUGAGAGGGUGACCGGCGACAUUGGGACUGAGGUACGGCCCAGACUGCUACGGGAGGCAGCAGUGGGGAAUAUGGCACAAUGGGCGGAAGCCUGAUGAAGCAACGCCGCGUGCGGGAUGACGGCCUGCGGGUUGUAAACCGCUUUAGCCUGUGACGAAGCGUGAGUGACGGUAAUGGGUAAAGAAGCACCGGCUAACUACGUG